RNAcentral lists this unclassified non-coding RNA (200 nucleotides) under Helotiales sp. Its description in RNAcentral is "partial internal transcribed spacer 2". Lineage: Eukaryota; Fungi; Ascomycota; Leotiomycetes; Helotiales. The record is from RNAcentral.
UUAAGUUCAGCGGGUAUCCCUACCUGAUCCGAGGUCAACCAUUAGAAAGAUGGGGUUGCUGGCCAGCACCUACCGGGACCCUAUAGCGAGAGAAGUUACUACGCUUAGGGCCUAGUAGGGCCGCCACUGAUUUUAAGGCCCGCCCAGAGGCGAGGCCCAAGACCAGCAAGCUGGAGGGGUUAUAAUGACGCUCGGACAGG